Etheostoma spectabile (orangethroat darter) is the source of this 326-nucleotide long non-coding RNA. RefSeq lists it as uncharacterized. The record is from RefSeq and is a predicted model, not a curated record. NCBI's taxonomy places the organism in Eukaryota, Metazoa, Chordata, Actinopteri, Perciformes, Percidae. The transcript is spliced from 3 exons.
GAUAUUAGUAAUCAGAGGUGCAGUGCUUCCACUGGCGCAGUUGCCCACUCAUAGUCUAAUAACCCCGGUGUCUGUCCUUCGACUCAGAUCGGUUAAAUCAAAGGUAACUAAAACAGGGGCUAUACUUAAGAACCUAAUUCGAAUUAAAACUACCACUGCAAUAAUAGAACAGAAUAGGAAAAUUAGAUGUGGACAAUUAGAUAUUAGAUCUCUGUCUUCUAAAGCAGUACUAGUAAACAAUCUGAUAUCAGAUAAUUAAAUUGAUCAAUUCUGUCUUACUGAAACAUGGCUGUGCCAUGAAGAAUAUGUUAGUCUAAAUGAAGUAA